Long non-coding RNA from Poecilia latipinna (sailfin molly), 1600 nucleotides. RefSeq lists it as uncharacterized. The record is from RefSeq and is a predicted model, not a curated record. The transcript is spliced from 3 exons. Lineage: Eukaryota; Metazoa; Chordata; Actinopteri; Cyprinodontiformes; Poeciliidae.
CAACAGGGAGCUAAAGAUGGGGCGGCAGAAAAAAAAAACAAACUCCGGGGCACAAAACGGAAGAGGGGGAGGGAUAAAGAUGUUGGAGAGACGAAGAAAAGCUUUUCAAAGUGGUUGAAAGACAGUAGGGCAGUUUGAUGGGCGCAGUGUUACCCUGCUGGAGGUAUGUGGGAGCUGGCCCGAGAGCUUCGGCGUGCCCAGGCACCAUAUUGGAUCGGCAGACAUCAGCGAUGAAGGCCUGCGGGAGAGGCUAGCCGACGCCAUGUCUGAGUCUCCUUCAAGAGACAUAGUGGGCUCUGCUACAGAGCUGCAGAGGGAAGGCAGUAUCGAGACUCUCAGCAACAGCUCAGGCUCCACCAGCGGUAGUAUCCCACGCAACUUCGAAGGAUACCGCUCUCCUCUGCCCACCAACGAGAGCCAGCCACUCAGCCUCUUCCCCUCCAACUUCCCCUGAAGCUUCGGCCCACCUGCUCAACACAAGUUCCACAGCAGCAUGAAUCAGAUGUGUGCUUGUUGUUGUCUGCUGUCCCACAGCUGGUGGGACAUGAGAGAGAGCCCAGCUGGAUACCUGGUCAAUAUUCUAAGCUCACAUUCUGCUGUUUGGUGAAGCUUUAGCUGAUUUUUUUUUCUUUUAAUUAGCUAGUUCUAAUGCCAUGGUGUCCAAAAAAUAUCAAACCUUUUAUUGUUUCCCCCACAUUUUAGCUAAUGUCCAAGUGUAGAUGUGUUUUGAGAGCCAAUAUUUUUCCGUAUUCAUUGAUCGACCUGGGAACAGUCAGGAAACGUUUUUAACUAUUUUUUUUUUUAAACUCAACCCCACAGAAGAGUCUGAGCCUGUUGCAUUGUCGUUAAGUCCACUGAGCGUCCUCCGUGGUUGCUGAUUUUUUACGGAGCGCCUAUUGUGUGUCUGGGCCAUAAGAAAAGGAGAAGAAAAAGAAUGUACUCCUGGCAGUGAUGUGUGGCUCCUCCCCUCCCCACCUCUCUCUCUGCGUUAGUGUGCGUGUGUGUGUGUGUGUGUGUGUGUGUGCGUUUUUAGAUGUGUGUGGCUGCUUUCAUGGCCCCUCGCUAAAUGUUUUUGAUUGAAUUUACUCCCUUCUUGCCUUUGAUUUUCAUGUAAUUACAUUUGACAAAAGAUGCAGUAAUGAGAUGACACUAUUACUACAUUGCAGAAGUAAUUUAGAUGUUUACAGUAUAAUUGAAAUAUGUUUCUGAAUUUAUCUAGAUGGAUUCCCUCUGCUGCACUCAGCCGUUCCAUGUAGAACAUUCUGGUUUUGCACGCUGAACUCAAUCUUUUGUAGUUUGUUUUACAUGUUUUGACCAAAAUCUUGAAAAACCUGUAGAUGUUUGGAACAAUGCGUUUUCCUCCUGAUAGCUUUUUGUUUAGCAUAGAGGAACAUGAUGUAUUGUUACCUGUAAUUUUUUUUAAUCAAUGUAAAGUAAUUGGAUGAUUUACAAACUGAUAAUAUUGUGCACGACAGUGAUCAGGUGGACUGUAGUCCAUGGAUCUAAAAACUGGAGAGCAAACAUUUGUUGUUGAUAAUAAUCUAACUUUGCUUCCCAGCAUCCAUUCAUUAAAAGCUUAAUAAAAGUAGAGGACUUUUUU